RNAcentral lists this ribosomal RNA (72 nucleotides) under Lejeunea anisophylla. Its description in RNAcentral is "partial 26S ribosomal RNA". It matches the Rfam family "Eukaryotic large subunit ribosomal RNA", at positions 1 to 72 of the family's 3401-position model. The record is from RNAcentral. Lineage: Eukaryota; Viridiplantae; Streptophyta; Jungermanniopsida; Porellales; Lejeuneaceae.
GGACCUCAGAUCAGGCAAGACCACCCGCUGAGUUUAAGCAUAUCACUAAGCGGAGGAGAAGAAACUAACAAG